UCAGGACGAACGUUGGCGGCGUGCUUAACACAUGCAAGUCUGCGAGAAAGUUAUAGCAAUAUAGCGAGUAAAGCGGCGAAAGGGUGCGUAACGCGUAAGCAACUUGCCCAUAGGAUGGGGAUAACGUCGAGAAAUCGGCGCUAAUACCCAAUAAUGCAGCGGCAUCGCAUGAUGAUGUUGUUAAAGGUCGCUUCGGUGGCGCCUAUGGAUGGGCUUGCGUCUGAUUAGUUAGUUGGCGAGGUAACGGCUCACCAAGACGACGAUCAGUAGCUGGUCUGAGAGGAUGAUCAGCCACACUGGAACUGAGACACGGUCCAGACUCCUACGGGAGGCAGCAGUGAGGAAUAUUGGGCAAUGCCCGCAAGGGUGACCCAGCAACGCCGCGUGGAGGACGACAGCCGUAAGGUUGUAAACUCCUGUUCGGGGGGACGAAUAACCGUCGUUUGCAAAGGCGACGGCUUGACGGUACCCUCAGAGAAAGCCCCGGCUAACUACGUGCCAGCAGCCGCGGUAAUACGUAGGGGGCAAACGUUGCCCGGAUUUACUGGGUGUAAAGGGCGCGCAGGCGGGUCGGUCAGUCAGAGGUGAAAGCCCACAGCUUAACUGUGGAACUGCCUUUGAUACUGCCGAUCUUGAGUGCGGGAGAGAGAAGCGGAAUUCCAGGUGUAGUGGUGAAAUACGUAGAUAUCUGGAAGAACACCGGUUGCGAAGGCGGCUUCUUGGACCGACACUGACGCUGAGGCGCGAAAGCGUGGGGAGCGAACCAGGAUUAGAUACCCUGGUAGUCCACGCUGUAAACGAUGAAUGUCAGAUGUCGGGGGAUUUUUCCUU
RNAcentral lists this ribosomal RNA (831 nucleotides) under uncultured organism. RNAcentral's name for it is "bacterial SSU rRNA". It matches the Rfam family "Bacterial small subunit ribosomal RNA", at positions 24 to 840 of the family's 1533-position model. The record is from RNAcentral.